CUGGCACAAUGUUCACCACACCUGGAGGGAAGCCCACCUCCUUAAUCAGAGAGCCAAUGUACAGUGAUGUGAGAGGAGUUUGUUCAGCUGGUUUAAUAACCAAAGUGUUUCCACAGCACAGCGCCGGUGCCAUCUUCCAAACCAGCAUCAGCAAUGGGAAGUUCCAUGGAGUUAUAGCUCCACAAACACCCAUCGGUUCAUGCCUGGUGAAACAGACAAAGUUUUCAUCCACAGGGAUAGUCCUGCCCUGGAUUUUAUCAGCCCAUCCAGCAUAAUAUCGGAGUGUCUUUAUACAACCUUCCAGGUCAAUGAAAUAAGCCUGCAGAAAAGGUUUUCCCGUGUCCAUUGUUUCUAAAGUUGCCAGGAUGACUCUGUCUCGCUCUAGAAGAUCAGCCAGUUUGUGUAGGAGCCGUCCCCUGCUUAAGGCAUCCAUUUGUCUCCACUGAGACCCUCUCUGGAAUGCUGCCUUUGCUGCUUCCACUGCAUUAUCCACAUCAGGCUUGUCUCCUUCCUCAAUAUCACAGAUUUUCUCUAGCGUCGAGGGAUUGUAGGUAGGGAACUUCUUUCCACUGGUAGACUCGUGCCAUUCAUUGUUUAUAAAUAUCUUGGUGUACUUCACCUCCAAACCCCUCAGAGGCCGUGGCAGCGGCGGCCCCUUCUUGUCAGGCGGCCCGUUCUCCACAGCACCGUUGACCGCGGCCAUACCCACCCCGUCGAGCCCAGACCCCA
This 729-nucleotide long non-coding RNA is filed under the name Gallus gallus (chicken). Lineage: Eukaryota; Metazoa; Chordata; Aves; Galliformes; Phasianidae. The record is from RNAcentral.